This 1168-nucleotide long non-coding RNA is filed under the name Homo sapiens (human). Its description in RNAcentral is "HSALNT0297207". Lineage: Eukaryota; Metazoa; Chordata; Mammalia; Primates; Hominidae. The record is from RNAcentral.
AAGAGUGAUGGAAAAUACAGACAUCCUAAUUUUGAGAGGCCAAUUAAACAUUCAGACAAACUUCUGUACAAGGGCUGAAGACAGGACAAGAUGUGCUGAUGUAUAAAAAGUCUAAAUCUGCAGCAUAAUCGUGAAGAGAUGAGGAAAGCCACGUACUCAGAGCCUCACUUAAAGGAAAUGAAACAGUAAAACUGAAUCAGAUUUGGCUCUUCACUUCUGCCUUCAGUGCUGUCCAGACUCAGACAUUAUAUCAGUAGGUUUCAGUUUUACUAACCAAUAAGUUCUUUGUGUACUUAAAGUUGGUUGUUUUUUAAUGGGGAUGUGGAAUGGAGGGGUAAAUAUUUUGUGUUUUUUAAUGAGGAAUCCCAAACACUAGAGUUUUUUCUUUAUAUUGCAAAGGCACUGAUGCCCCUUCUCACAAAAUAUUUCAUGCUUCAGUAUUGGCCUAAAGUUGACUAUCUUUAUAUAAAUUAAAAUCUUCUCAUGUUUUAGUGGUGUUUUAGAAGAUCUUGACAUGUUACUUUUUGAAUUAAAGUGAAACGCAUAGCAUAUGGACUCAACAAAACCAUUCUCUGUGAAUAAAAUGUGUCACAUUCUAUAAUAAAACUAUAUAUAGCAUGUUAUUCCAUAUUCUGUAUGAUUAAUUUUAGAGAUUAUAUCUUGAAUUCUGCUAUCAAUCUACAAUGUUUAUUCAUUCAUUCAACAAAUAUUUGUUAAGAACUACUAUGUGUCAAGUACCUAGUUUGCAACAGUGAAUAAACAGAUAUUCUUGAGUUUGUGAAGUUUAUUAUAUUCAAGAGACAGAAAUAUAGAUAGUACACAAUUAACAUAACACCUAAGAAAAGAAUUUAAUAUGUAAUAAGAUCAUAAGUACAAUGAGAAAAAAUGCAUCACAGUAAGGAGACUGGGGAGAGUUUGCAAUGUGAAUCAUGUGGUCAGAGUGAGUCUCAUUGAAAAGUUAACAUUAGAACAAAGACUGGGAGAAGACGCAGUUGUGAGUCAUCUGUGUUCUGCAGCGGGAACGGCAAGUACAAAGGCUCUGAGGAAGGAGGGCGCCUGGAGUGUUUGCAGCAGUGUGAGGAGGUCAGCUUAAAAGUAGAAAUGAGAAGAAGAAUAGAUGAUAGGAUCAGCUGGCUAUGCAAUUUGCAGUGCAAAAUAAAUUUGUGGG